GGUGACGCAUUGGUUAAAGCACUUGGCUGCUAACCAAAAGGUCGGUGGUUCAAACCCACCAGUCGCUU
RNAcentral lists this transfer RNA (68 nucleotides) under Loxodonta africana (African savanna elephant). It matches the Rfam family "tRNA". Rfam says of the family: Transfer RNA (tRNA) molecules are approximately 80 nucleotides in length. Their secondary structure includes four short double-helical elements and three loops (D, anti-codon, and T loops). The record is from Rfam by way of RNAcentral. Lineage: Eukaryota; Metazoa; Chordata; Mammalia; Proboscidea; Elephantidae.